This 800-nucleotide ribosomal RNA is filed under the name uncultured Cellulosimicrobium sp. RNAcentral describes it as "bacterial SSU rRNA". It matches the Rfam family "Bacterial small subunit ribosomal RNA", at positions 49 to 863 of the family's 1533-position model. Lineage: Bacteria; Bacillati; Actinomycetota; Actinomycetes; Micrococcales; Promicromonosporaceae. The record is from RNAcentral.
UUACCAUGCAGUCGAACGAUGAUGCCCAGCUUGCUGGGUGGAUUAGUGGCGAACGGGUGAGUAACACGUGAGUAACCUGCCCUUGACUUCGGGAUAACUCCGGGAAACCGGGGCUAAUACCGGAUAUGAGCCGCCCUCGCAUGGGGGUGGUUGGAAAGUUUUUCGGUCAGGGAUGGGCUCGCGGCCUAUCAGCUUGUUGGUGGGGUGAUGGCCUACCAAGGCGACGACGGGUAGCCGGCCUGAGAGGGCGACCGGCCACACUGGGACUGAGACACGGCCCAGACUCCUACGGGAGGCAGCAGUGGGGAAUAUUGCACAAUGGGCGAAAGCCUGAUGCAGCGACGCCGCGUGAGGGAUGAAGGCCUUCGGGUUGUAAACCUCUUUCAGCAGGGAAGAAGCGCAAGUGACGGUACCUGCAGAAGAAGCGCCGGCUAACUACGUGCCAGCAGCCGCGGUAAUACGUAGGGCGCAAGCGUUGUCCGGAAUUAUUGGGCGUAAAGAGCUCGUAGGCGGUUUGUCGCGUCUGGUGUGAAAACUCGAGGCUCAACCUCGAGCUUGCAUCGGGUACGGGCAGACUAGAGUGCGGUAGGGGAGACUGGAAUUCCUGGUGUAGCGGUGGAAUGCGCAGAUAUCAGGAGGAACACCGAUGGCGAAGGCAGGUCUCUGGGCCGCAACUGACGCUGAGGAGCGAAAGCAUGGGGAGCGAACAGGAUUAGAUACCCUGGUAGUCCAUGCCGUAAACGUUGGGCACUAGGUGUGGGGCUCAUUCCACGAGUUCCGUGCCGCAGCAAACGCAUUAA